This 372-nucleotide ribosomal RNA is filed under the name uncultured bacterium. Its description in RNAcentral is "bacterial SSU rRNA". It matches the Rfam family "Bacterial small subunit ribosomal RNA", at positions 525 to 896 of the family's 1533-position model. The record is from RNAcentral.
ACGGAGGGAGCUAGCGUUGUUCGGAAUUACUGGGCGUAAAGAGUACGUAGGCGGUUAUUCAAGUCAGAGGUGAAAGCCCGGGGCUCAACCCCGGAACUGCCUUUGAAACUAGAUAACUAGAGUCUUGGAGAGGUUAGUGGAAUUCCGAGUGUAGAGGUGAAAUUCGUAGAUAUUCGGAAGAACACCAGUGGCGAAGGCGACUAACUGGACAAGUACUGACGCUGAGGUACGAAAGCGUGGGGAGCAAACAGGAUUAGAUACCCUGGUAGUCCACGCCGUAAACGAUGAUAACUAGUUGUUCGGUCACUUGGUGACUGAGUGACGCAGCUAACGCAUUAAGUUAUCCGCCUGGGGAGUACGGUCGCAAGAUUA